RNAcentral lists this ribosomal RNA (433 nucleotides) under uncultured bacterium. Its description in RNAcentral is "partial 16S ribosomal RNA". It matches the Rfam family "Bacterial small subunit ribosomal RNA", at positions 29 to 507 of the family's 1533-position model. The record is from RNAcentral.
AACGAACGCUGGCGGCAUGCCUAACACAUGCAAGUCGAACGAGACCUUCGGGUCUAGUGGCGCACGGGUGCGUAACGCGUGGGAACCUGCCCUUAGGUUCGGAAUAACUCCCCGAAAGGGGUGCUAAUACCGGAUAAUGUCUUCGGACCAAAGAUUUAUCGCCUUUGGAUGGGCCCGCGUUGGAUUAGCCAGUUGGUAGGGUAAAAGCCUACCAAGGCGACGAUCCAUAGCUGGUCUGAGAGGAUGAUCAGCCACACUGGGACUGAGACACGGCCCAGACUCCUACGGGAGGCAGCGGUGGGGAAUAUUGGACAAUGGGCGAAAGCCUGAUCCAGCAAUGCCGCGUAAGUGAUGAAGGCCUUAGGGUUGUAAAGCUCUUUUACCCGGGAUGAUAAUGACAGUACCGGGAGAAUAAGCUCCGGCUAACUCCGUG